Molecule: ribosomal RNA, 261 nt
Filed under: uncultured prokaryote
Description: partial 16S ribosomal RNA
Rfam family: Bacterial small subunit ribosomal RNA
Source: RNAcentral
UACGUAGGUGGCAAGCGUUAUCCGGAAUUAUUGGGCGUAAAGAGCGCGCAGGUGGUUGAUUAAGUCUGAUGUGAAAGCCCACGGCUUAACCGUGGAGGGUCAUUGGAAACUGGUCGACUUGAGUGCAGAAGAGGGAAGUGGAAUUCCAUGUGUAGCGGUGAAAUGCGUAGAUAUUAGGAGGAACACCAGUUGCGAAGGCGGCUCUCUGGACUGUAACUGACACUGAGGCACGAAAGCGUGGGGAGCAAACAGGAUUAGAUA